RNAcentral lists this small RNA (401 nucleotides) under Tetrahymena thermophila. Its description in RNAcentral is "TtnuUkn6". The record is from RNAcentral. Lineage: Eukaryota; Ciliophora; Oligohymenophorea; Hymenostomatida; Tetrahymenidae.
AUAGAAGAUUUUUUUGACUCCUUUGAUAAAUUCUUACAAGUUUUAAAAAUAAAACAAAAUCUUUAAGUCUUGAGAGUCUUUUAUGAAUAAUUAGAUGAAGCAGAUCAAAAAUAUUUCAUAGAAGAAUUUUUACCUUCUCUUGCUAUACGUGCACUUGAAUUGGAAACACUAUUCUUAAAUUCUCCUGUCAAAAUUCUCAAACAAUAUGACUCCACUCCUUCCAUAUUUACUAAGCGCUAAAUAAGUUCUGUUUUGGCCAACAUGUUCUUUGGUACUAUUGAUUAUUCCAAAUACCGUACUCUCAUUUAAUGGUAUGAUGGACCCUAUAGAAUCGAAACAAAGAUUGAAAAAAUCAAAUGCUUGUAUAAUUAUUUCAAGAGAAUCCUCUCUGCAUCUGAAGA